GCCACCCGGUGCAGGCAGCUCUUGUACCGCCCGUUUGACAGGGCCUGCAGAUGCAACACAUCAAUUUCACGCGUAGCAACUCCGUUUUAUCAUAUUUCUUCAAGUACUUGGAUUUUUUGGAAUCAAUUCUAUUGGACCUCUCUUGCGAAUGUUUUUACUUUUCUUUGUUUCAGCUUGCCAUAUUAACGUUUGUCAUGCGGUGGCAGGUGCAGGAUGGAUGCUUGCUUGUUUCCUGUUUCGAAUUGUUUCUAUAAAAUAAACUGAUGGCAAUGUGGUGGAAGGCAGCGUAUUAUUAGCUUGACUUGUGGUGGAAUGGUGCACCAUCGCUUGCAGCCUGACGCACGUCAUGUCCGCUGCUACCCGCAGGAGAUGAAGUGGUGCAUGACAGUUUGCUCUCUUGAAACAUUCGAAAAGUUUCAUGCAUGCGAAGGUGCACUGUUCUGAAGUACGUUUAAAUCCAUGAUCGGUAAUAUAUGGGAAAAUGGAAGCUGGGGAGUGAAUGAUGAUGAACGUAUACCACCAUAAACCUCCAUAAACUGUGUGUGUGAGUGUGUGUGUUUAUUUAUGUAUAUCAUAGGUGUGUAUAAAUGUCUUUUAGUUUUGAACUCUUGCAAUUAGGGCCAAAGAGGCCUGAUAAUGUUUUUAAUUUCUUUUCUUCUUUUGGAUGAAAGGCCUGAUAAUGUGUUAAAACUUCGUAGUGG
This 701-nucleotide long non-coding RNA is filed under the name Phoenix dactylifera (date palm). RNAcentral's name for it is "long non-coding RNA (PDAC_LNC004702)". The record is from RNAcentral. Lineage: Eukaryota; Viridiplantae; Streptophyta; Magnoliopsida; Arecales; Arecaceae.